CUAGCCGUAAACGAUGGGUACUAGGUGUAGGGGGUAUCGACCCCCCCUGUGCCGGAGUUAACGCAAUAAGUACCCCGCCUGGGGAGUACGGCCGCAAGGUUGAAACUCAAAGGAAUUGACGGGGGCCCGCACAAGCGGUGGAGUAUGUGGUUUAAUUCGACGCAACGCGAAGAACCUUACCAAGGCUUGACAUUGAGUGAAAGGCUGAGAGAUCAGUCCCCCUCUUCGGAGGCACGAAAACAGGUGG
RNAcentral lists this ribosomal RNA (247 nucleotides) under uncultured Veillonellaceae bacterium. RNAcentral describes it as "partial 16S ribosomal RNA". It matches the Rfam family "Bacterial small subunit ribosomal RNA", at positions 796 to 1041 of the family's 1533-position model. The record is from RNAcentral. Lineage: Bacteria; Bacillati; Bacillota; Negativicutes; Veillonellales; Veillonellaceae.